CCAGACUCCUACGGGAGGCAGCAGUGAGGAAUAUUGGACAAUGGUCGGAAGACUGAUCCAGCCAUGCCGCGUGCAGGAUGAAGGUCUUAUGGAUUGUAAACUGCUUUUGUAAGGGAAGAAUAAGGGCUACGCGUAGUUUGAUGACGGUACCUUACGAAUAAGCAUCGGCUAACUCCGUGCCAGCAGCCGCGGUAAUACGGAGGAUGCGAGCGUUAUCCGGAAUCAUUGGGUUUAAAGGGUCUGUAGGCGGGCUGGUAAGUCAGAGGUGAAAGCGCUUAGCUCAACUAAGCAACUGCCUUUGAAACUGUUGGUCUUGAAUGGUUGUGAAGUAGUUGGAAUGUGUAGUGUAGCGGUGAAAUGCUUAGAUAUUACACAGAACACCGAUAGCGAAGGCAUAUUACUAACAAUUAAUUGACGCUGAUGGACGAAAGCGUGGGGAGCGAACAGGAUUAGAUACCCUGGUAGUCCACGCUGUAAACGAUGGAUACUAGCUGUUUGGUUUAAGGAUUGAGUGGCUAAGCGAAAGUGAUAAGUAUCCCACCUGAGGAGUACGUUCGCAAGAAUGAAACUCAAAGGAAUUGACGGGGGCCCGCACAAGAAGGGCGAA
RNAcentral lists this ribosomal RNA (607 nucleotides) under uncultured bacterium. Its description in RNAcentral is "bacterial SSU rRNA". It matches the Rfam family "Bacterial small subunit ribosomal RNA", at positions 331 to 938 of the family's 1533-position model. The record is from RNAcentral.